AAAAACAUAGCCCUUGUAAAUAUCAAAGGUGUAACCUGCCCAAUGAUUUUUAUUUAAAAAAUAAGAAAAAUAUUUAAAAAAAAUUUAAAGGACGCGGUAACCUUGACUGUGAUAAUGUAGCAUAAUCACUCGCCAUUUAAUUGAUGGAUAGUAUGAAUGGUUGAACGAAUAUUACACUAUCUAAAAAAUAGAUCUCAUAAAAAUGAAAUAAUAGUUAAGAUGCUAUUUAAAAUUGUAAGACGAAAAGACCCUAUAGAGCUUAACUAUAAUCUUUUUUAUUAAAAAGAAAAAGUUUCUGAAAAAAGAAAGAUUGGUAGUUUAGUUGGGGCGACUAUUUUUUAAAAUAAACAAAAAUAAGCAAUAUUAAUAAAAUAAUUUAUUGUAUAAUAAACAAAUUUAACAAUUACCAAAGUAGGCUAUAAUGACCCGUUAUUAUUACAUAAUAAAAAUAACGAUUAAUGAAUAAAAGCUACCUUAGGGAUAACAGGAUAAUUUUAUCUAAGAGUCCUUAUCAAAGAUAAAGUUUGUCACCUCUAUGUUGAAUUAAGAUGUCCAAAUAGUGCAGAAGCUAUUAAGGGUAGGUCUGUUCGACCUUUAAAAUCUUACAUGAUUUGAGUUCAUU
Molecule: ribosomal RNA, 622 nt
Filed under: Eudendrium carneum
Lineage: Eukaryota; Metazoa; Cnidaria; Hydrozoa; Anthoathecata; Eudendriidae
Description: partial large subunit ribosomal RNA
Rfam family: Bacterial large subunit ribosomal RNA
Source: RNAcentral